CCUGGUGGCGUGCAGUCUCUCAGUGCUGCUUCCAGUCCUGGGUGGCCCUCAGCCGCUAUGGCCAUUGGAUGACAAUGACAAUGUCCCCAUCAGCAAGUGUCCGGUGUCUAUCAGGGAGCAGUCCUAGAACAGCCAGGAGUGUGAAAGAGUCGGAUCAUCCAGACCCUAAACCAUGUACGGGGCAGGCACUUGGCGCAGUGGACAAGUUGCUGUUAAGAAGCCACUUCCUCUAUCAGAGUGGCUGGUCUGGUCCUGGCCCCUCUGGUUCUCACCGAGCUUCCUGCUAGUGUGCGUCCUGGGAGGCAGCAGCUGUCUUUGGGUCCUCGUGGGACACCCAGAUGGAGUUCUAAGCUCCUGGCUUUGGCCUGGCUCAGCCUUGGCUACUGCAGGCACUUGGGGGAUGGAACCAGUAGAUGGAAAAGAUUCU
Molecule: non-coding RNA, 427 nt
Organism: Oryctolagus cuniculus (rabbit)
Lineage: Eukaryota; Metazoa; Chordata; Mammalia; Lagomorpha; Leporidae
Source: RefSeq, a predicted model, not a curated record